Molecule: long non-coding RNA, 1288 nt
Organism: Mauremys reevesii (Reeves's turtle)
Lineage: Eukaryota; Metazoa; Chordata; Testudines; Geoemydidae
Exons: 10
Source: RefSeq, a predicted model, not a curated record
UGAAGAGUGACCUCAGACCUGACUAUAAUCAUAACAAUUAGAUACCACAAAACAACUAAGAUUAAUUCCAACCAAGUUUAUUCAGUUGUAGCCUCUGAAGUGAACAUUAAUUCAUCAUUGAUUAUUAGCAGUUCAAAGCGGUGUCUCCCUCGUGACAAGCAGGCACAAAGCAGGGCUGCUGAGCACUAUUUUUGCCUGCCGGAUAAAAAUGUUAGCGUCUUCUCUUCAGCUUAAAGAUUUGUAAUCAUGCAAAUUCCCGUCUGUUAUUGAGAUAUGCUCACACACGGUCAAAUUCUCCGGUGUCUCUUCUGCUGAUUUUCAUAACAAAUCCGAAUAAGUUUUCUUUUGUACGAGUGUGACCCCCCCACAAAACAGCUGAGCUCUACAAGAUGCAACUUGAUAGAUCGUCAAUGAAAGCUGGUCUCCAGUAAAGACAUCAGGAAAGCGGAGGGACCUCACAGCAAGAGACACAUACAGUUUUGUGACAUCUGCCUACUAAAGGCAUCAUUCAAAGAUCAAACCUAAAUGAACUCAGGUGGAGAAAACUGGCACAGAAGGGAAGUGACUGGCCCAAGGUCAUCCACUGGGUCGGCGUCAGAGCAGCCACAUCUCCCCACUCCCAGUCCAGUUUCCUACCCACUAAGCCUCGGACACUCGAGUUAGAAGUUCAUUGCUGACUGAUAAUAAACCUUUCAAUAAAGCGUCGUCUUUGACGUAAGAUGUGGGGUGUUGAACAUUACACUCCUCAAAACGGACAGGCUUUUGAUGACUGCUCACUGGUUUUCAUCUCCAGAGAGUCAUUUCAAGUGGACAACUGACAACAGAAAAAUCAAUGAGAAAAAAAAGGCAUAUGAACCAGCAAGACAGGGACAGAUCUGUCUGCUGGAAGCGAGGAGCGGUGAUCAUGAGGGUACUGCACAGAUCCCUAAUGAAGUUCCAUCCGUGCUCACUGCUAUCUCAAUCCAUCACUAUUGUCAUGGAAUCUGACAUAAUUCAACUUGGGAACAAAGAAGAAAGCAAGGACAGGAAAAAGUUCAUAAGCAAACAACAUGAAGGCUCAGCAAACCUCAACUAUCAGGAGUGGAAUCAGAUCCAUCUCUGUGUCAGAAGAACGAUUGGAAAAUGAAAUAGCCAAGUCUCUUCAGUAAUGCACUUCCCUCUGCAAUGUGCAUGUACAUUACUUAUUAAGAAGCAUAAUAUUUUAUUGCUAAACAGCUUUCAUUGUGGAAAGAGAGAGUGCACCAUCAAUAGCAGCAUUAAGGGGAAGAAAUACCCAUCAACAUCAGCU